GUGCAUGUGGGGCUAUAAUUUAUGAAACGAAGCCCAGGAAACAACCAAUCACUUAGCUCCUCCUAACAAGUCCAACUGGCUAUGAGAAGCUGGAAGUGCUGCACAGAACAAUGAAGAAGAGCUAUCCCACAUUUUAAUCUACUUAUCUAGGAUUGCUUUCUGUGUAGAGAGAGGGAAGCAUGCAACAAGGUUGGGGGGGGAAGCUCAGAAAGAGAAAAAUCACAGCUUUGCUGUUGAAACAACAGAAUACAUUUCAAUCAACAGGCAAAUCUUCCACUGUAGUCAGAUGGC
Non-coding RNA from Podiceps cristatus (great crested grebe), 291 nucleotides. The record is from Rfam. Lineage: Eukaryota; Metazoa; Chordata; Aves; Podicipediformes; Podicipedidae.